GAUGAACGCUGGCGGCGUGCCUAAUACAUGCAAGUCGAGCGAACAGACGAGGCGCUUGCUCCUCUGACGUUAGCGGCGGACGGGUGAGUAACACGUGGAUAACCUACCUAUAAGACUGGGAUAACUUCGGGAAACCGGAGCUCAUACCGGAUAAUAUAUUGAACCGCAUGGUUCAAUAGUGAAAGACGGUUUUGCUGUCACUUCUAGGUGGAUCCGCGCCGCAUUAGCUAGUUGGUAAGGUAACGGCUUACCAAGGCAACGAUGCGUAGCCGACCUGAGAGGGUGAUCGGCCACACGGGAACGGAGACACGGUCCAGAGGCCUAAGGGAGGCAGCAGUAGGGAAUCUUCCGCAAUGGGCGAAAGCCUGACGGAGCAACGCCGCGUGAAUGAUGAAGGUCUUCGGAUCGUAAAACUCUGUUAUUAGGGAAGAACAAAUGUGUAAGUAACUAUGCACGUCUUGACGGUACCUAAUCAGAAAGCCACGGCUAACUACGUG
RNAcentral lists this ribosomal RNA (497 nucleotides) under uncultured bacterium. RNAcentral describes it as "partial 16S ribosomal RNA". It matches the Rfam family "Bacterial small subunit ribosomal RNA", at positions 28 to 507 of the family's 1533-position model. The record is from RNAcentral.